RNAcentral lists this ribosomal RNA (432 nucleotides) under uncultured bacterium. RNAcentral's name for it is "bacterial SSU rRNA". It matches the Rfam family "Bacterial small subunit ribosomal RNA", at positions 29 to 447 of the family's 1533-position model. The record is from RNAcentral.
AACGAACGCUGGCGGCGUGCCUAACACAUGCAAGUCGAGCGCGAAAAGGGCAACCUGAGUAGAGCGGCGCACGGGUGCGUAACACGUGGGUAAUCUGCCUCAAAGUUUGGGAUAACCUUCCGAAAGGUUGGCUAAUACCGGAUAAGCUCACGAGGUCUUCGGACUUUGUGGGAAAAGGUGGCCUCUAUUUAUAAGCCAUCACUUUGAGAUGAGCCCGCGGCCCAUCAGCUAGUUGGCGGGGUAACGGCCCACCAAGGCUACGACGGGUAGCUGGUCUGAGAGGACGAUCAGCCACACUGGAACUGAGACACGGUCCAGACUCCUACGGGAGGCAGCAGUGGGGAAGUUUUGCACAAUGGGCGAAAGCCUGAUGCAGCAACGCCGCGUGUGUGAUGAAGGUCUUCGGAUCGUAAAGCACUUUCGACCGGGACG